Molecule: transfer RNA, 73 nt
Filed under: Stegodyphus mimosarum
Lineage: Eukaryota; Metazoa; Arthropoda; Arachnida; Araneae; Eresidae
Rfam family: tRNA
About the family: Transfer RNA (tRNA) molecules are approximately 80 nucleotides in length. Their secondary structure includes four short double-helical elements and three loops (D, anti-codon, and T loops). Further hydrogen bonds mediate the characteristic L-shaped molecular structure. tRNAs have two regions of fundamental functional importance: the anti-codon, which is responsible for specific mRNA codon recognition, and the 3' end, to which the tRNAs corresponding amino acid is attached (by aminoacyl-tRNA synthetases). tRNAs cope with the degeneracy of the genetic code in two manners: having more than one tRNA (with a specific anti-codon) for a particular amino acid; and 'wobble' base-pairing, i.e. permitting non-standard base-pairing at the 3rd anti-codon position.
Source: Rfam by way of RNAcentral
GCUUUCCUGGUGUAGUGGUCAGCACGCUCGACGCGUAACCGAGAGGUCCGUGGUUCGAUUCCCGGCGAAGGAA